UCUUUAGACCUGUGCAAUGGGACAGUGAGCAAACGUGUCAGGGUAGGAAUACAGCAGCACAGCUUACUCUCUCAUGUGCCGCAGCCAUCUGGAGAGGG
RNAcentral lists this signal recognition particle RNA (98 nucleotides) under Sulfurimonas autotrophica. Its description in RNAcentral is "signal recognition particle sRNA small type". It matches the Rfam family "Bacterial small signal recognition particle RNA". Rfam says of the family: The signal recognition particle (SRP) is a universally conserved ribonucleoprotein involved in the co-translational targeting of proteins to membranes. The record is from RNAcentral. Lineage: Bacteria; Pseudomonadati; Campylobacterota; Epsilonproteobacteria; Campylobacterales; Sulfurimonadaceae.